This 98-nucleotide non-coding RNA is filed under the name uncultured Neobacillus sp. Its description in RNAcentral is "TPP riboswitch (THI element)". It matches the Rfam family "TPP riboswitch aptamer (THI element)", at positions 6 to 96 of the family's 105-position model. Rfam says of the family: Vitamin B(1) in its active form thiamin pyrophosphate (TPP) is an essential coenzyme that is synthesised by coupling of pyrimidine and thiazole moieties in bacteria. The previously detected thiamin-regulatory element, thi box was extended, resulting in a new, highly conserved RNA secondary structure, the THI element, which is widely distributed in eubacteria and also occurs in some archaea. Analysis of operon structures identified a large number of new candidate thiamin-regulated genes, mostly transporters, in various prokaryotic organisms. The record is from RNAcentral. Lineage: Bacteria; Bacillati; Bacillota; Bacilli; Caryophanales; Bacillaceae.
UACUACUAGGGGUGCCCAAACCGUGGGCUGAGAGAAAACGAGUGCGUUUUUAACCCUUUGGACCUGAACUGGGUAAUACCAGCGUAGGAAAGUAGCAU